GGUGACGUGUCCGAGUGGCUGAAGGAGCACGCCUGGAAAGCGUGUAAAGGGUAACCUUUCGAGAGUUCGAAUCUCUCCGUCACCGCCA
RNAcentral lists this transfer RNA (88 nucleotides) under Moritella yayanosii. Its description in RNAcentral is "tRNA-Ser". It matches the Rfam family "tRNA". From Rfam's summary of the family: Transfer RNA (tRNA) molecules are approximately 80 nucleotides in length. Their secondary structure includes four short double-helical elements and three loops (D, anti-codon, and T loops). RNAcentral also lists the same sequence under 7 other names. Lineage: Bacteria; Pseudomonadati; Pseudomonadota; Gammaproteobacteria; Alteromonadales; Moritellaceae. The record is from RNAcentral.